GUCUUUUUUACUGGGCCUGUUAUUUUUCUGCUGGUCACACACACGCCCUCACCAUGAAGGGGCUCGCUGCUGCCUUCCUUGUCUGGACUCUUCUUUCUCCCAAGGGUGGUGGCAGUCAAGCCUGGCCCACACACACAGCCUGCAAGGACGGGGGCUUGGAAGUGCUCUACCAGAGUUGUGAUCCAUUACAAGAUUUUGGCUUUUCUGUUGACCAGUGUUCCAGACAUUUAAAGUCAAAUCUCAGCAUUAGAUUUGGAAUGAUUCUGAGAGAGGACAUCAAAGAGUUGUUUCUCGAUGUAAGUCUCUUCAGUGAAGGCCUGUCCAUUUUGAGUUACUCCUAUCCCAUCUGUGAAGAGGAUCUACCCAAGUUUUCUUUCUGUGGAAGAAAGAGAGGGGAACAGAUUUAUUAUGCUGGCCCUGUCAAUAAUCCUGGAUUUGAUAUUCCCAAGCCAUAUUCAGGCUUCCAGAAUGUUAAUAUCAGGAAUAGGACACUGAAGUCAUUGCUGAGAGCCAGUGGCACCUGUUCGUGCUCUCAGGGACCUCGCUCCCAGGCACCCUUCACGGCUGGAGAAGCAGCCCUAAAAAUGAGGAAUUAAAAUUCAGCACAACUUUAGAAGGAAGUCAGUCCUCACUUUGGCCAAGCACACGUCAUGUCUUCUGGAUAUUUUGGGGGUGGAAAUGACGACGUUGGCUUCGCCUUGUGGGUGGGCUCCUGGGGGCAGAGACGUGGCAGAGAGGAGGACCUGGUGUCUCGUGUCCGCACCCAGCCACUGGGAUGCAUGGCAAAGCCUCCAAGGGAGAGAAGCUGCAGCCAGGAGCUGAGCCAGGAGCUGACUUUACACAGAACUCACAGGAACUCCAGGGCACCGGCAGCAUUUCGUGGGGCCUCGGUGGCAACGCAGUACGGGGGCAGAGGGUGUGGCACAGCUUGGCUGGUUUCAUAACCCAAGGGGGACCCAGCACAAAGAGGGGCAGGAGAACCAGGCCUGGGCUUGGGUACCGCACUUCCCCCUCCCUAAACACACAGCCUGGGAGGAGCGUGAUGCAGAGUGAAAUAGGACAGAACUUCUCCGGAGCUGGCUCAGGGGCCCAGAAAUAACCGGCGGAGAAUGUGAGACGAGUCUGAAGAGAUCUGAAGAGAUUCUGUAAUAUGCUAGAAGAGUGCUCCACCAAAACCAGAUAUGAUCUCAACGUCAGGAGGAUGAGCCAAAAGCCAUACAGCAAAGGUUCAGACUGGCAGGUUAACGGUCAGGCAGUAACUCAGCUGAUGAGAUGGAGCUCCCAUGGAUCCAGACCCUAACUGUAUGAUAAGGACUCCUGGGGCAGCCUCUCCACAUGCACGACAGACUUAUUUUCACAGAAACCUCGUCAUGCCUCGUCACACAGCCAGACCAAGAGCCAUGCUUGGAACCAGCACUAGGGGUGAUGACACCUUUGUGUGAAUUGGAAACCAGAAUUCUGAGUGGAACAAGAACCAGUGGCAUACUAUUUGGCAAGAAGGUGCCACCUUCACACAGAGCAAAGGGGAGCUGGUCCUCUGGGCAGACACAUGCUCGUGCCCAGACACGUGCUUGGCAAGUGUGCGCACGCUGCGUUCCAGCCCCGGUCUCCCUCCGCGCCGUCCACACCCUACGCAACGGUCCCCGGUGGCCGAGGUCACGCUUUGCAUGGUGCAUGGUGCAUGUUGAAGAAAGAGAGCUGCCCAAGGGGAAUAUUCUGCCUCAGGAAGACGUUGGUUUCUGCCUGUUGACUGAUGACCCCUGAUCUCAUUAUUGCCCUGCCCUACCUCAGUUCCCACUCACCAUUACCUACCAACCAACCACUUCACAAGACAGCACCUUAGUUAAAAUUUAUUCUGGAGUCAAAACUGCUAAGUGAACCAGACACACAGGCUUCUCUCUAAUCUUGUUUUUGCCCUGAAUAUUUUCAUAUCGACUUGGAACUGAGCAUGUUCCAUUAGAACAACAAAAAAAGUCAUUAACAACCUUGCUCCAUGAAAGCCUUGCUCUUCUCCGAAACACCAUUACAUCAUUUUUGGAAUAUCGCUCCCUCCAAGAAGCUGUCCCUGUCUGAUGCUCAGGCUGGGGUCAAGGUCCCCCUCGGGGGCUCCCCAGCAGCCUCCCUUCGCCUAGACUGAAUCAUGACACUAACCACACUCUACCGCCACAGUCGUUUGCUUGUCAUCUGCCCUCUCGGGACAUGAGCAUCCCGAGAGCAGAAGCAAGGUUUCGUUCACCCUUGAACAAAUCUCCAACUCCUGGUUUGAAUUUUGGUGAAAUGAAUGGUCUAGGGAAGAAAAAAAGCAUUGAUUGUGCACAGUAUUAGUUUGGUUGGCCUGCUGUUACAAAGUAUCACAAACUGAGUGUCUUCAAACAACAGAAAUGUAUUGUCUCAUGGUUCUGGAGGCCAGAGGUCCAAAAUCAGGGUAGUGACAGGGCCAUGUUCCCUCUGAGGCUGCCAGGGAACAACUGCAUGCUGCCUCUCCUAGCUUCUGGUGUCCCCAGACAUGCCUCGGCUAGUGGGCACAGCACUGCAAACCUCCGUCUCCACACGGCCUCUCCCUGGCCAUCUUCACAUCACCUUCCCCCAGUGCGGGUCUGUCUGUGUGUCCAACUUCACAGGAACAUCAGUCAUAUGAAAUUUGGGCCUACUCUAAUCAUCUCAUUUUAAUCUGAUAAUUGCUGAAAAGACCGUAUUUCCAAAUAAAGUCACAUUCUUAGGUACAGGGAAUUAGGACUUCAAUAUGUCUUCUGGUGGGGGAUACAAUUCAACCUGUAACAUGUACCUACAAUCUAGCCAACGUUCUCAUGUAGAUAAUUUUACUUAAUCCUCACAGCAAUCCAAGGAAGUAGGUAGUACAGUUCCCAUUGUUCAUAAUACUAUAGGACUGAGGCUUAAUGAGAGGGCACAGGAAAGUCAGAGUGGAGGCAAGUGUAGUGCCCACGUGAGUGUGACUUCAACACUAGACGCUGGACCGUCCAGUGGAAAUGAGCAUGGACAUGGAGCACAGGGGGACCUCAGCCGAGGUCCUGCUCCUGCCCACUCUGGGCAGCAUGACCUCCAUCCCCUCGCCUGUUAAAUCUUCCUGUCAUUGGGAGAUUAUGUAAUAUCUAUUACAGAGGCUGACAAAAAUUAGUUAAUAUCAUAUCAUAAUAUAACUCUAACUACACCUUCCUAAGAAGCGGCCCCAGGAACAGCAGCAGAAUUCAGUUAGACUGUAUUCAGAAUACAGUCAGAAGCCUACAUUUCCAGUUUAUCUCUGGAGAGGAUAAGACUUCCCUGGCGAAGUCCACCCAUCCCUGUAUCCAUGAAGAAGCCACCUGCUUCCUUUUCAGCACUUGCCUCAUCCACCUCAGAUAUAAUAUUCUGAGCAAAACAGGGAUGUCUAGGAGCAGCGGCCCGGCCCAGGCAUCCACCCCUCUGCCUGGAAUUCCAUUGCCACUAGCUCCCUAUACUUGCCCCUUUCCUUAUCUUGUCCCCAGUGUCACUAUUUCAUAAAGACAGGCAACAAUGGGACUACUUUAAUGUGAACACGAAUCACAGAAGUCCUUUAUUGGUCCUUUCAGUCCAAGGAUUCAUGAGGCAGGAAAAGAGCUGACUGUUGGUCCUUAAAAAUUUCCAACAAGGCAAAAGCCACACUUUGCUAGAAGUAUCUCUCAGUAACUAGCAGCCCAACAGUCCCAAAGUUCACAUUUCACCCAACCCCUUUCUCCUUCUUUCCUUUGGGAUGAAAGUUGUCUACAACACCUGAGAGCAUGGUCCCACUGCAAAACCGACGGGAGUUGAGUCUCAGCUCCAUCACUUCCCAGUUGUACCAACUUGGGCAAGCUGCUUGAUUCUUCUGUGCCUCAGGCUCCUCAUCUGUAAAACGGGACUUCUCACAUCUGUGAGUCUCUGCCUCACAGAUUGUUGUGUGGAAUAUAUAACACUUGGGGUUUGGUGGCGCUUGAUAAAUAUUUCCUCUUCCCUUCCCUUUUUCCUCUGAGUCAUUUUUGACUGCUUGUAUUCAAACAAGUAUGUGAUAGCUAUACAGAACAGUAGAACAAUUCUAAAUACAGUCAACGUAAAAAUGUGGACCCUCAAGUCUGUGACGAAACUUGCAUCUUAAAAAAACACAAAGGUGAGUUUAGGGGAUGAAGCACUUCGAGACGAAUAGCACGGACAGCUACACAACAAAGUGAUCGCACUCAGUGCCACUGGAAACCUCAGAACAGUUUUACAAGUAAACUUUGUCACAUAUACUUUACCAAAAUAUUUCUUUAAUUUUUAAAAGGUAAAAAAAUAAUUUAUCUUGAAACUAUUUUUCUUAGUGGGCAAGGAAAAAACAAUGGAACCAUGAACAUUUAAUACUGGACAUGCCCUUCCAAAAAAUGUAAGUUUCUUGUAAAGCAUUCACUAAUUUUUUUUUUUGCAAAGCAUUGUAUAAAUCUAUUCAGCAUUCUUUGAUCUUAAAAUUUUGGCAGACAUUGACGCUAUAAUAAAAGUGUGUU
RNA transcript from Phyllostomus hastatus (greater spear-nosed bat), 4490 nucleotides. It is a transcript of the gene named lymphocyte antigen 86, with no coding region annotated. The transcript has 6 exons. The record is from RefSeq and is a predicted model, not a curated record. NCBI's taxonomy places the organism in Eukaryota, Metazoa, Chordata, Mammalia, Chiroptera, Phyllostomidae.